UUCCGUAGGGGAACCUGCGGAAGGAUCAUUGAAUAUGCAAACCACAACACGCACUUAAUUCUUGGUGAUCGACCUGGGGUCGCACAUGCCUUCACCGGCGCCGCGGCCCUGCUUUCUACACACCAUAUCAAACACCGAUACAAACCAAACUCUGAAGCUUUGGCUGCUAUUAAUUGGCGGUCUACAACGAGAACAACUCUCAACAACGGAUAUCUUGGCUCUCGCAACGAUGAAGAACGCAGCGAAAUGCGAUACGUAGUGUGAAUUGCAGAAUUCCGUGAACCAUCGAAUCUUUGAACGCAUAUUGCUGCUCGACCUUUCGGGGAAGAGCAUGUCUGCCUCAGCGUCGGUUUCAACCUCAUCCCUCCCACCCCUGUGGGUCGGGCGUGCUUGCUCAAGCACGCUCUUGGGAUGGAUCUGACCUCCCCAGCGUUUGCGUGGCACUCCCUGGGUUGGUUGAAGCACAGAGGCUUAAACUGGGACCCGAUAUGGGCUCAACUGGAUAGGUAGCUCCGCUUGCUCUGCAAGUGCCUACACGAAGUUGUGCUUGUGGACCUGGUUAGGAGCCAAGCAGGAAUCGAGUGUUCGCACUCGAAUCUAAGGUUCGACCUGAGCUCAGGCAAGGCUACCCGCUGACUUUAAGCAU
This 646-nucleotide ribosomal RNA is filed under the name Desmodesmus sp. Itas8/18S-6d. Its description in RNAcentral is "eukaryotic LSU rRNA". The stretch from base 195 to 349 matches the Rfam family "5.8S ribosomal RNA". The record is from RNAcentral. Lineage: Eukaryota; Viridiplantae; Chlorophyta; Chlorophyceae; Sphaeropleales; Scenedesmaceae.